This 253-nucleotide ribosomal RNA is filed under the name uncultured bacterium. RNAcentral describes it as "partial 16S ribosomal RNA". It matches the Rfam family "Bacterial small subunit ribosomal RNA", at positions 524 to 776 of the family's 1533-position model. The record is from RNAcentral.
GACAGAGGGUGCAAACGUUGUUCGGAAUCACUGGGCAUAAAGCGCACGUAGGCGGUCCACUAAGUCUCAUGUGAAAUCCCCCGGCUCAACCGGGGAAUUGCGCGAGAUACUGGUGGGCUAGAGAUCGGUAGGGGUGAGUGGAACUCCAGGUGGAGCGGUGAAAUGCGUAGAUAUCUGGAGGAACACCGGUGGCGAAAGCGGCUCACUGGACCGACACUGACGCUGAGGUGCGAAAGCUAGGGUAGCAAACGGG